RNAcentral lists this ribosomal RNA (407 nucleotides) under uncultured bacterium. RNAcentral describes it as "partial 16S ribosomal RNA". It matches the Rfam family "Bacterial small subunit ribosomal RNA", at positions 30 to 526 of the family's 1533-position model. The record is from RNAcentral.
AUUGAACGCUGGCGGCAGGCUUAACACAUGCAAGUAGAACGCAGUUGCGAACGGGUGAGUAACGCGUAGGUAACUGCCUGGUCGCGGGGGAUAACUAUUGGAAACGAUAGCUAAUACCGCAUAAUACCAGAUGGACCUGCGUUGUAUUAGCUAGUUGGUGGGGUAACGGCUCACAAAGGCAACGAUACAUAGCCGACCUGAGAGGGUGAUCAGUCACACUGGAACUGAGACACUGUCCAGACUCCUACGGGAGGCAGCAGUGGGGAAUAUUGGACAAUGGACGGAAGUCUGACCGAGCAACGCCGCGUGAGUGAAGAAGGUGUUCGGAUCGUAAAGCUCUGUUGUAAGAGAAGCGGUAUCUUACCAGAAAGGGACGGCUAACUACGUGCCAGCAGCCGCGGUAAUAC